AACCUUAUGGACCUGCGGGCGUAUACCUGCGGAAGGAUCAUUAUCGAGUGUAACCUACCCCGUAAAAAAGGGUGGUACCUCCCGUCCUUUGCAGGCCCUCUUUUUAUGAAGGGGGCUUUUAAGAUUUUCUGCCUCGGCGGGGUUACUCCCGCCGGAACACCCUCAAAAAAAACUCUUGAUCAAAAAACCGUUCAGUCCGAGAACUUUUUGAAAAAUAAAAAAAAACUUUCAACAAUGGAU
This 240-nucleotide unclassified non-coding RNA is filed under the name soil metagenome. Its description in RNAcentral is "partial contains 5.8S ribosomal RNA, internal transcribed spacer 2, and large subunit ribosomal RNA". The record is from RNAcentral.